RNAcentral lists this ribosomal RNA (235 nucleotides) under uncultured Staphylococcus sp. RNAcentral describes it as "partial 16S ribosomal RNA". It matches the Rfam family "Bacterial small subunit ribosomal RNA", at positions 105 to 334 of the family's 1533-position model. The record is from RNAcentral. Lineage: Bacteria; Bacillati; Bacillota; Bacilli; Caryophanales; Staphylococcaceae.
GGUGAGUAACACGUGGAUAACCUACCUAUAAGACUGGGAUAACUUCGGGAAACCGGAGCUAAUACCGGAUAAUAUAUUGAGCCGCAUGGUUCAAUAGUGAAAGACGGUUUUGCUGUCACUUAUAGAUGGAUCCGCGCCGCAUUAGCUAGUUGGUAAGGUAACGGCUUACCAAGGCGACGAUGCGUAGCCGACCUGAGAGGGUGAUCGGCCACACUGGAACUGAGACACGGUCCAG